CGUGGUGCAAUAAUUGAAAAUAGAUUUCUCUGAAUUACAGUACUGAUUUAAUAGUCAUAGGUCAAUAGCAAUAUUAGUCGGUUUUUUACUCCUGCAUGUGAACAAUUUGCAGAAAGUGUAUAGAUUUAUUGCCAAAUAAACUAUUUAUGCUUUAUAUAUUUAUAUACUAUGAGCCAGACCAGCGUAGUCAAAUGAAACGCAGUUACACGCAACCUUCCUGUGUUCUCCGGUUUAAUCACCAGGGGGAGUCCUUCAACUACCUCCUCAACGCGGCUGAAGUGUUUCUUAGAGAUUUUACUUAGGCUUAUGGAAGAUCUAUUCAGAAAUGUGACUGCAGAUAAACCUAAGGUAUACCAAGGUGUGCGUGUGAAGACCACCGUUAAGGAGUUGCUGCAGAAGCACAGAGCCCUGCAGGCACAGAAAACCGCAACGGUAAACAAUGGUGUUGUAUAUACGCAAUAAAAGUCAUAAGUCAGUCACUGACGUACAAGUUUAUGGUAGCCAAAGUAAAACGAAGUCUGGUCAGUGCAUGACCAAAUUUAAAAAGCAUCGAAACGUCUUAAAGCACCACGCCCACACAGGCCUAUCUGUGCUUGAGGCUUCAGUUAAUAGCCUACCACAUAAUAGUACAACCUAACGGAAGAUUUCUUCUGUUUUUCAACUGAACGAACGCAAUGAUUAAUGUUUUCCUUUGCUUCUCCCUCUCUUUUCCAAUUUUAAUCCCAUAGAAAUCACAAGCCGUGGCUGCUCGCGAUGUCUGCUCUACGACCAUGAAUACCCACCUUGAUAUCUUUGGAAUGCAAGCUCCAGAGCCCUAUUUCCAGACACAUCCCUUUCCUGAAAAUAUCAACAUCCCGAUGGAGAAUGCUUAUGAUCAUCAACAGAUGAUGCAUAUGAUGCCACCUGAGACUUUCAGCUGCAGUAAUUUCGUGUGUCCCACCUCUGCGCAGUGGUCUAAUGGAUAUCUACCUUCUAAUACGGACCUCUAUGGUACUACUAGCCUGGUUUUGAGGUCACCCUCAGACUCCAUCAAUCUCCCCAGUCCCGUCGACUACAACAGUUACUCCCCCCCUCAGUCCAACUCUUCAUCUUCUUCGUGCUACAACUCCCCAACACGGAUGGAUUUGAGCUCCAGUUUCUCUCCAGAAAAUUACCACUAUCAGCAUUGCAACCUACAGCAUUGCUUUUGUCUGUCGCACUGGUCCAAUGUGCAGGAAGGCAUGGCAACCUCAGAGUUUGCGCCCUACGGCUCAUCAGACUGUUUGUAUUCAUAUGGAGACGACAGCUAUUUCAGAAGGGAUACUUCAAACUCAGACAUGUGUUACUUAUAAAAUGCAUUUUGAAGCGCUUUGCGCAAAAAUCCAGUGUCACAAUUGAUUCAUUCGAAUGCAUUUGUUGUACUUUAGUUUAGAUAAAAGAACAAGCAGUGAUAGAAUGCAUGAUUGGGCUUAGUUUAGUAGUUUAAGCAAAAAGGUUGAUUGCAGAGAGCUAAAUAUGUGUGAGUAUAAUUUACAAAUUAUUAUUUUAUCUUUUUUUACAAUAAACAUAUUUUUCGUAAUUUUACUGGUAUCUUUUAUUAAAAAUGCCAUAGAUCUAUUAAUAAUGGGGAAAAUAUUUCAGAUUUGCAGGGUGUAGUUUCUGUUUCUCACUCUAGAAAUGAACAUCGGAGCUUUGACAGCUGUGGCACAAUUAUGCAUAUCAACAUUCGAC
Sinocyclocheilus grahami is the source of this 1710-nucleotide long non-coding RNA. The record is from Ensembl. Lineage: Eukaryota; Metazoa; Chordata; Actinopteri; Cypriniformes; Cyprinidae.